RNAcentral lists this transfer RNA (70 nucleotides) under Lemmiscus curtatus (Sagebrush vole). RNAcentral's name for it is "tRNA-Pro". It matches the Rfam family "tRNA". From Rfam's summary of the family: Transfer RNA (tRNA) molecules are approximately 80 nucleotides in length. Lineage: Eukaryota; Metazoa; Chordata; Mammalia; Rodentia; Cricetidae. The record is from RNAcentral.
CAAGAAGUAGUUCAGGUAGAAUGUCUGCUUUGGGCGCUGACGGCGAAGGAUUUUUGUCCUUCCUUCUUGA